CAAGUCGAGGGCGAUCGGGAGUAGCAUACUUGCCGGCGACCGGCGCAAGGGUGCGUAACGCGUGAGCAACAUGCCCGUAUACAGGGGGAGUAAUCCAUGGAAAACGUGGUCUAAUACCCCAUAGUAAUUAUGUAAGGCAUCUUAUAUAAUUUAAAGCUUUGGUGGAUACGGAUUGGCUCGCGUGACAUUAGCUGGAUGGUAAGGUAACGGCUUACCAUGGCUACGAUGUCUAGGGGUUCUGAGAGGAAGGUCCCCCACACUGGAACUGAGACACGGUCCAGACUCCUACGGGAGGCAGCAGUGAGGAAUAUUGGACAAUGGAUGGAAAUCUGAUCCAGCCAUGCCGCGUGCAGGAAGACGGCCCUAUGGGUUGUAAACUGCUUUUGUAUGGGAGCAAUAAGGGCUACGUGUAGUCCGAUGAGAGUACCAUACGAAUAAGCACCGGCUAACUCCGUGCCAGCCGCAGC
Molecule: ribosomal RNA, 467 nt
Filed under: uncultured bacterium
Lineage: Bacteria
Description: bacterial SSU rRNA
Rfam family: Bacterial small subunit ribosomal RNA
Source: RNAcentral